Phragmites australis (common reed) is the source of this 1693-nucleotide long non-coding RNA. RefSeq lists it as uncharacterized. The record is from RefSeq and is a predicted model, not a curated record. NCBI's taxonomy places the organism in Eukaryota, Viridiplantae, Streptophyta, Magnoliopsida, Poales, Poaceae. The transcript has 4 exons.
GAUACUUCUUAUCCAGAUUCCACUACUAUAAAAUGCCUCAUCAGUGCUGGUUGAAAAUCAAUUUCAUUACCGGUUUUUCAACCGGCACUCUUUACUCGGCACUAAUAGAAAGAUACUAUCAGCUCUAGUUGCUCAUCCGAUACUAUUACUAUUUCCAGAGAAUAAAAAAAAUUAGCGGACGGGAGUGGCAUCCGAAGCCGGAAUCGAGCUGGCUCCCGCCGCCGCUCCCCUUCUUCCUCACCACCCUCCUCCGCGCCUCCCGUGCCCCCUUCUCUGCUGGCAUCAACAUACACCGUGCUCCACAUACACAAAUCAAAACCACAAAAUCAACACAAAAUCGAAGGUAGAGGCGACUGAUACACGCAUUGACAAAGAAAGUACAUACACACACAUACACACAAACACCAAAUUCUGCUUGCUACUAAAUACGAUCCAAACUUGCUCGAAGAAAGUACAUACACACAUACACCCAAAGCUUGUUCCUUUACUUCCCUUCAGCAUCGAAUCCGGUGACGCCCGACAAGGAGGCUGACGGGCGGAUGAGUGUGCGUGCGCGAGCACCAAGCUGCACCGCCACUGCCGCAUCUCGCCUCUGGGCGGAUGGAAGUGAGCGUGGGCGCCGGACCACGUCAUCGUCGCCGCGUUGCUCCACGCCGCAGCCUCCACUCCUCCAGCGCUAGUGCCAUCUCACGGCUAAUGUCCCGAGCACGCCGCCGCCGAGUCCCAGCCCAGCGGCCGACCUGUUGGUCGUCGACACCGCUGGCUGCAGACACCGAGCCGCAUCUAGGGUGCAUUCGGUGUGGGCGACAGCGUGGAAGGUAGAGGCGGAGGGGAUGGUGUAGAGCGGGGUAGAGGAGGAGAAUGGCACCAGCAUUGGAGGGCAACGACGGAUGAGACGGCGGGAACCAGAUCUGGGUACUAGGUGGCUUGGUGACUUCAUCCUGUCAAAGGUGAAAUUCCUCAUUCUUUAAAAGGAUACAAAUUGCACAGUGCAGUGCUCAGCAUGGGUGCAUAUUAUUGGUUCGAAAUACCGGACUGUACCUGGAACUAUAUUAUCGUACUGUACAAACGUGCAGUCUUUUUAGUCAGUAGAUUAGUCUUACAACCUAACCUCUUUACUUGAUGCUAAUUUUGGUUACUGACUGAAUGAUGAGCGCAUCUGAUCUGUGCUAACUUGAAUUUGCACAGUGUUGACAAUGAAAUUGUGCUUUGGGAACCAAAAACAAAAGAACAAAGUCCUGGCGAGGGUACCAUUGAUAUUCUUCAGAAGUACCCUGUGCCAGAGUGUGACAUCUGGUUUAUCAAAUUUUCACGUGAUUUUCACUUCAAUCAAUUGGCAAUAGGCAACCGUGAAAGUAAAGUCUAUGUCUGGAAAGUACAGUCCAGCCCAUCUGUUAUAAUUGCUCGGUAAUUUUAACUGGAAGAACUUGAGUUAUCUUGUCAUCUGCACGUACUACUGAUGCUUCUGGUUGUGAUUUGUGAACUCAUCGUCAUUUCCAAGCUCACUAAUCAGCAAUGCAAAUCGCCAUAAGGCAGACUGCAGUGUCGUUUGACGGAAGCACAAUCUUUGGCGCUGGCGAGGAUGGCACCAUAUCGCGAUGGGAUAAAGUGGACCAUCCAAGCGCCAAAAACUGAAGCAAGACCAACCGCCUGCCGAUGCCAGAUCGAUUGAGCUCGAUUUGGGGAUUUCUUG